This 443-nucleotide ribosomal RNA is filed under the name uncultured bacterium. RNAcentral describes it as "partial 16S ribosomal RNA". It matches the Rfam family "Bacterial small subunit ribosomal RNA", at positions 338 to 795 of the family's 1533-position model. The record is from RNAcentral.
CCUACGGGAGGCAGCAGUGGGGAAUAUUGCACAAUGGGGGAAACCCUGAUCCAGCGAAGCCGCGUGAGUGAAGAAGUAUUUCGGUAUGUAAAGCUCUAUCAGCAGGGAAGAAAGACAUGACGGUACCUGACUAAGAAGCCCCGGCUAACUACGUGCCCGGAGCCGCGGUAAUACGUAGGUUGCAAUCGUUAUCCGGAUUUACUGGGUGUAAAGGGAGCGUAGACGGCGAUGCACGUCUGAAGUGAACGGCGGGGGCCCAACCCCAGGACUGCGUUGGAAACUGUAUGUCUGGAGUGCAGGAGAGGUAAGUGGAAUUACUGGUGUAGCGGUGAAAUGCGUAGAUAUUAGGAAGAACACCAGUGGCGAAGGCGGCUUACUGGACUGUAACUGACGUUGAGGCUCGAAAGCGUGGGGAGCAAACAGGAUUAGAUACCCGAGUAGUC